Molecule: ribosomal RNA, 226 nt
Filed under: uncultured bacterium
Lineage: Bacteria
Description: partial 16S ribosomal RNA
Rfam family: Bacterial small subunit ribosomal RNA
Source: RNAcentral
UACGUAGGGUGCAAGCGUUGUCCGGAAUUAUUGGGCGUAAAGAGCUCGUAGGCGGUCUGUCGCGUCGGCUGUGAAAACCCGGAGCUCAACUCCGGGCCUGCAGUCGAUACGGGCAAACUGGAGUGUUGCAGGGGAGACUGGAAUUCCUGGGUGUAGCGGUGAAAUGCGCAGAUAUCAAGGAGGAACACCGGUGGCGAAGGCGGGGUCUCCGUGGGCAACAACGUGA